CCGAAAAAUAGUGAGCUAUGCCUGAACAGGUCGAAGUAAGGGAAGACCCUUAUGGAAGGCUGUAGCAAUUUUGAUGGGCAAAUCGAUUUACAGAGUUCAGAAUAGGGACGAAAGCAGUUGGUUCCAUCAAAAGCUAUCAUAGUUG
This 145-nucleotide non-coding RNA is filed under the name Anopheles minimus. RNAcentral's name for it is "eukaryotic large subunit ribosomal RNA". It matches the Rfam family "Eukaryotic large subunit ribosomal RNA", at positions 816 to 953 of the family's 3401-position model. Lineage: Eukaryota; Metazoa; Arthropoda; Insecta; Diptera; Culicidae. The record is from RNAcentral.